AAUAUUGGUAAAUGGAGGCAACUCUGAACCAGCCACGUCGCGUGAAGGAUGACGGCCCUACGGGUUGUAAACUUCUUUUAUACAGGAAUAAGGUGAGUCACGUGUCACUUUUUACAUGGACUGUAUGAAUAAGGAUGGGCUAAUUCCGUGCUAACAGCCGCGGUAAUACUGAGGAUCCAAGCGUUAACCGGAUUUAUUGGGGUUAAAGGGUGCGCAGGCGGAAGAUUAAGUCGGCGGUGAAAUUUUGCAGCUCAACUGUAAAAGUGCCAUCGAUACUGGUUUUCUUGAGUGUGGAUGAAGUAGGCGGAAUUUGUGGUGUAGCGGUGAAAUGCAUAGAUAUCACGAGGAACUCCGAUUGCGCAGGCAGCUUACUAGGCCAUAACUGACGCUCAGGCACGAAGGCGUGGGGAUCAAAC
RNAcentral lists this ribosomal RNA (416 nucleotides) under uncultured bacterium. RNAcentral describes it as "partial 16S ribosomal RNA". It matches the Rfam family "Bacterial small subunit ribosomal RNA", at positions 360 to 773 of the family's 1533-position model. The record is from RNAcentral.